UUAAGCGACUAAGCGUACACGGUGGAUGCCCUGGCAGUCAGAGGCGAUGAAGGACGUGCUAAUCUGCGAAAAGCGUCGGUAAGGUGAUAUGAACCGUUAUAACCGGCGAUGUCCGAAUGGGGAAACCCAGUGUGAUUCGUCACACUAUCGUUAACUGAAUACAUAGGUUAACGAGGCGAACCGGGGGAACUGAAACAUCUAAGUACCCCGAGGAAAAGAAAUCAACCGAGAUUCCCCCAGUAGCGGCGAGCGAACGGGGAGCAGCCCAGAGUCUGAAUCAGCUUGUGUGUUAGUGGAACGGUCUGGAAAGUCCGACGGUACAGGGUGAUAGUCCCGUACACCAAAAUGCACAGGCUGUGAACUCGAAGAGUAGGGCGGGACACGUGGUAUCCUGUCUGAAUAUGGGGGGACCAUCCUCCAAGGCUAAAUACUCCUGACUGACCGAUAGUGAACCAGUACCGUGAGGGAAAGGCGAAAAGAACCCCGGCGAGGGGAGUGAAAAAGAACCUGAAACCGUGUACGUACAAGCAGUGGGAGCACCUUCGGGUGUGACUGCGUACCUUUUGUAUAAUGGGUCAGCGACUUAUAUUCUGUAGCAAGGUUAACCGUAUAGGGGAGCCGCAGGGAAACCGAGUCUUAACUGGGCGUUAAGUUGCAGGGUAUAGACCCGAAACCCGGUGAUCUAGCCAUGGGCAGGUUGAAGGUUGGGUAACACUAACUGGAGGACCGAACCGACUAAUGUUGAAAAAUUAGCGGAUGACUUGUGGCUGGGGGUGAAAGGCCAAUCAAACCGGGAGAUAGCUGGUUCUCCCCGAAAGCUAUUUAGGUAGCGCCUCGUGAACUCAUCUUCGGGGGUAGAGCACUGUUUCGGCUAGGGGGUCAUCCCGACUUACCAACCCGAUGCAAACUACGAAUACCGAAGAAUGUUAUCACGGGAGACACACGGCGGGUGCUAACGUCCGUCGUGAAGAGGGAAACAACCCAGACCGCCAGCUAAGGUCCCAAAGUCAUGGUUAAGUGGGAAACGAUGUGGGAAGGCACAGACAGCCAGGAUGUUGGCUUAGAAGCAGCCAUCAUUUAAAGAAAGCGUAAUAGCUCACUGGUCGAGUCGGCCUGCGCGGAAGAUGUAACGGGGCUAAACCAUGCACCGAAGCUGCGGCAGCGACACUAUGUGUUGUUGGGUAGGGGAGCGUUCUGUAAGCCUGCGAAGGUGUGCUGUGAGGCAUGCUGGAGGUAUCAGAAGUGCGAAUGCUGACAUAAGUAACGAUAAAGCGGGUGAAAAGCCCGCUCGCCGGAAGACCAAGGGUUCCUGUCCAACGUUAAUCGGGGCAGGGUGAGUCGACCCCUAAGGCGAGGCCGAAAGGCGUAGUCGAUGGGAAACAGGUUAAUAUUCCUGUACUUGGUGUUACUGCGAAGGGGGGACGGAGAAGGCUAUGUUAGCCGGGCGACGGUUGUCCCGGUUUAAGCAUGUAGGCUGGUUGUCCAGGCAAAUCCGGAUAAUCAAGGCUGAGGUGUGAUGACGAGGCACUACGGUGCUGAAGUAACAAAUGCCCUGCUUCCAGGAAAAGCCUCUAAGCAUCAGGUAACAUCAAAUCGUACCCCAAACCGACACAGGUGGUCAGGUAGAGAAUACCAAGGCGCUUGAGAGAACUCGGGUGAAGGAACUAGGCAAAAUGGUGCCGUAACUUCGGGAGAAGGCACGCUGGUGUGUAGGUGAAGUCCCUGCGGAUGGAGCUGAGACCAGUCGAAGAUACCAGCUGGCUGCAACUGUUUAUUAAAAACACAGCACUGUGCAAACACGAAAGUGGACGUAUACGGUGUGACGCCUGCCCGGUGCCGGAAGGUUAAUUGAUGGGGUUAUCCGUAAGGAGAAGCUCUUGAUCGAAGCCCCGGUAAACGGCGGCCGUAACUAUAACGGUCCUAAGGUAGCGAAAUUCCUUGUCGGGUAAGUUCCGACCUGCACGAAUGGCGUAAUGAUGGCCAGGCUGUCUCCACCCGAGACUCAGUGAAAUUGAACUCGCUGUGAAGAUGCAGUGUACCCGCGGCAAGACGGAAAGACCCCGUGAACCUUUACUAUAGCUUGACACUGAACAUUGAGCCUUGAUGUGUAGGAUAGGUGGGAGGCUUUGAAGCGUGGACGCCAGUCUGCGUGGAGCCAACCUUGAAAUACCACCCUUUAAUGUUUGAUGUUCUAACGUUGGCCCCUUACCGGGGUUGCGGACAGUGUCUGGUGGGUAGUUUGACUGGGGCGGUCUCCUCCCAAAGCGUAACGGAGGAGCACGAAGGUUAGCUAAUCCUGGUCGGACAUCAGGAGGUUAGUGCAAUGGCAUAAGCUAGCUUGACUGCGAGCGUGACGGCGCGAGCAGGUGCGAAAGCAGGUCAUAGUGAUCCGGUGGUUCUGAAUGGAAGGGCCAUCGCUCAACGGAUAAAAGGUACUCCGGGGAUAACAGGCUGAUACCGCCCAAGAGUUCAUAUCGACGGCGGUGUUUGGCACCUCGAUGUCGGCUCAUCACAUCCUGGGGCUGAAGUAGGUCCCAAGGGUAUGGCUGUUCGCCAUUUAAAGUGGUACGCGAGCUGGGUUUAGAACGUCGUGAGACAGUUCGGUCCCUAUCUGCCGUGGGCGCUGGAGAAUUGAGGGGGGCUGCUCCUAGUACGAGAGGACCGGAGUGGACGCAUCACUGGUGUUCGGGUUGUCAUGCCAAUGGCACUGCCCGGUAGCUAAAUGCGGAAGAGAUAAGUGCUGAAAGCAUCUAAGCACGAAACUUGCCCCGAGAUGAGUUCUCCCUGAGACUUUAAGUCUCCUGAAGGAACGUUGAAGACGACGACGUUGAUAGGCCGGGUGUGUAAGCGCAGCGAUGCGUUGAGCUAACCGGUACUAAUGAACCGUGAGGCUUAACCUU
Molecule: ribosomal RNA, 2900 nt
Filed under: Klebsiella pneumoniae
Lineage: Bacteria; Pseudomonadati; Pseudomonadota; Gammaproteobacteria; Enterobacterales; Enterobacteriaceae
Also listed under: 1 other name
Description: bacterial LSU rRNA
Rfam family: Bacterial large subunit ribosomal RNA
Source: RNAcentral